UAGGAUGAACGCUAGCUACAGGCUUAACACAUGCAAGUCGAGGGGCAGCAUCAUCAAAGCUUGCUUUGAUGGAUGGCGACCGGCGCACGGGUGAGUAACACGUAUCCAACCUGCCGACAACACUGGGAUAGCCUUUCGAAAGAAAGAUUAAUACCGGAUGGUAUAGUUUUCCCGCAUGGGGUGAUUAUUAAAGAAUUUCGGUUGUCGAUGGGGAUGCGUUCCAUUAGGCAGUUGGCGGGGUAACGGCCCACCAAACCUACGAUGGAUAGGGGUUCUGAGAGGAAGGUCCCCCACAUUGGAACUGAGACACGGUCCAAACUCCUACGGGAGGCAGCAGUGAGGAAUAUUGGUCAAUGGACGAGAGUCUGAACCAGCCAAGUAGCGUGAAGGAUGACUGCCCUAUGGGUUGUAAACUUCUUUUAUACGGGAAUAAAGUGAGCCACGUGUGGCUUUUUGUAUGUACCGUAUGAAUAAGGAUCGGCUAACUCCGUGCCAGCAGCCGCGGUAAUACGGAGGAUCCGAGCGUUAUCCGGAUUUAUUGGGUUUAAAGGGAGCGUAGGCGGGUUGUUAAGUCAGUUGUGAAAGUUUGCGGCUCAACCGUAAAAUUGCAGUUGAUACUGGCGACCUUGAGUGCAACAGAGGUAGGCGGAAUUCGUGGUGUAGCGGUGAAAUGCUUAGAUAUCACGAAGAACUCCGAUUGCGAAGGCAGCUUACUGGAUUGUAACUGACGCUGAUGCUCGAAAGUGUGGGUAUCAAACAGGAUUAGAUACCCUGGUAGUCCACACAGUAAACGAUGAAUACUCGCUGUUGGCGAUAUACAGUCAGCGGCCAAGCGAAAGCAUUAAGUAUUCCACCUGGGGAGUACGCCGGCAACGGUGAAACUCAAAGGAAUUGACGGGGGCCCGCACAAGCGGAGGAACAUGUGGUUUAAUUCGAUGAUACGCGAGGAACCUUACCCGGGCUUAAAUUGCAACUGACGGAACCGGAAACGGUUCUUUCUUCGGACAGUUGUGAAGGUGCUGCAUGGUUGUCGUCAGCUCGUGCCGUGAGGUGUCGGCUUAAGUGCCAUAACGAGCGCAACCCUUACGGGUAGUUACCAUCAGGUUAUGCUGGGGACUCUACCCGGACUGCCGUCGUAAGAUGUGAGGAAGGUGGGGAUGACGUCAAAUCAGCACGGCCCUUACGUCCGGGGCUACACACGUGUUACAAUGGGGGGUACAGAAGGCAGCUACACGGCGACGUGGUGCUAAUCCCAAAAGCCUCUCUCAGUUCGGAUUGGAGUCUGCAACCCGACUCCAUGAAGCUGGAUUCGCUAGUAAUCGCGCAUCAGCCACGGCGCGGUGAAUACGUUCCCGGGCCUUGUACACACCGCCCGUCAAGCCAUGAAAGCCGGGGGUACCUAAAGUACGUAACCGCGAGGAGCGUCCUAGGGUAAAA
Molecule: ribosomal RNA, 1437 nt
Filed under: uncultured organism
Description: SSU rRNA
Rfam family: Bacterial small subunit ribosomal RNA
Source: RNAcentral